UACGUAGGGGGCAAGCGUUGUCCGGAAUCAUUGGGCGUAAAGAGCGUGUAGGCGGCUCGAUAAGUCUGCUGUGAAAGUCCAGGGCUCAACCCUGGAAGGCCGGUGGAAACUGUCGGGCUAGAGUCCGGAAGAGGCGAGUGGAAUUCCCGGUGUAGCGGUGAAAUGCGCAGAUAUCGGGAGGAACACCAAUGGCGAAGGCGGCCACCUGGACAGUAACUGACGCUGAGAUGCGAAAGCGUGGGGAGCAAACAGG
This 253-nucleotide ribosomal RNA is filed under the name uncultured bacterium. RNAcentral's name for it is "partial 16S ribosomal RNA". It matches the Rfam family "Bacterial small subunit ribosomal RNA", at positions 524 to 776 of the family's 1533-position model. The record is from RNAcentral.